AGGGUGAGGGAGGGGGUGGGAUGGGUGGGGGGUAACGGGGGAAACUGGGGAAGUGGGGAACCGAGGGGCAACCAGGGGAAGAUGGGGUGCUGGAGGAGAGCUUGUGGGAGCCAAGGAGCACCUUGGACAUCUGGAGUCUGGCAGGGUUUGAUCCCAGGGCCUGGGCAACGGAGGUGUAGCUGGCAGCAGCGGGCAGGUGAGGACCCCAUCUGCCGGGCAGGUGAGUCCCUUCCCUCCCCAGGCCUCGCUUCCCCAGCCUUCUGAAAGAAGGAGGUUUAGGGGAUCGAGGGCUGGCGGGGAGAAGCAGACACCCUCCCAGCAGAGGGGCAGGAUGGGGGCAGGAGAGUUAGCAAAGGUGACAUCUUCUCGGGGGGAGCCGAGACUGCGCAAGGCUGGGGGGUUAUGGGCCCGUUCCAGGCAGAAAGAGCAAGAGGGCAGGGAGGGAGCACAGGGGUGGCCAGCGUAGGGUCCAGCACGUGGGGUGGUACCCCAGGCCUGGGUCAGACAGGGACAUGGCAGGGGACACAGGACAGAGGGGUCCCCAGCUGCCACCUCACCCACCGCAAUUCAUUUAGUAGCAGGCACAGGGGCAGCUCCGGCACGGCUUUCUCAGGCCUAUGCCGGAGCCUCGAGGGCUGGAGAGCGGGAAGACAGGCAGUGCUCGGGGAGUUGCAGCAGGACGUCACCAGGAGGGCGAAGCGGCCACGGGAGGGGGGCCCCGGGACAUUGCGCAGCAAGGAGGCUGCAGGGGCUCGGCCUGCGGGCGCCGGUCCCACGAGGCACUGCGGCCCAGGGUCUGGUGCGGAGAGGGCCCACAGUGGACUUGGUGACGCUGUAUGCCCUCACCGCUCAGCCCCUGGGGCUGGCUUGGCAGACAGUACAGCAUCCAGGGGAGUCAAGGGCAUGGGGCGAGACCAGACUAGGCGAGGCGGGCGGGGCGGAGUGAAUGAGCUCUCAGGAGGGAGGAUGGUGCAGGCAGGGGUGAGGAGCGCAGCGGGCGGCGAGCGGGAGGCACUGGCCUCCAGAGCCCGUGGCCAAGGCGGGCCUCGCGGGCGGCGACGGAGCCGGGAUCGGUGCCUCAGCGUUCGGGCUGGAGACGAGGCCAGGUCUCCAGCUGGGGUGGACGUGCCCACCAGCUGCCGAAGGCCAAGACGCCAGGUCCGGUGGACGUGACAAGCAGGACAUGACAUGGUCCGGUGUGACGGCGAGGACAGAGGAGGCGCGUCCGGCCUUCCUGAACACCUUAGGCUGGUGGGGCUGCGGCAAGAAGCGGGUCUGUUUCUUUACUUCCUCCACGGAGUCGGCACACUAUGGCUGCCCUCUGGGCUCCCAGAACCCACAACAUGAAAGAAAUGGUGCUACCCAGCUCAAGCCUGGGCCUUUGAAUCCGGACACAAAACCCUCUAGCUUGGAAAUGAAUAUGCUGCACUUUACAACCACUGCACUACCUGACUCAGGAAUCGGCUCUGGAAGGUGAAGCUAGAGGAACCAGACCUCAUCAGCCCAACAUCAAAGACACCAUCGGAACAGCAGCGCCCGCAGCACCCACCCCGCACCGGCGACUCCAUCUUCAUGGCCACCCCCUGCGGCGGACGGUUGACCACCAGCCACCACAUCAUCCCAGAGCUGAGCUCCUCCAGCGGGAUGACGCCGUCCCCACCACCUCCCUCUUCUUCUUUUUCAUCCUUCUGUCUCUUUGUUUCUGAGCUUUCCUGUCUUUCCUUUUUUCUGAGAGAUUCAAAGCCUCCACGACUCUGUUUCCCCCGUCCCUUCUGAAUUUAAUUUGCACUAAGUCAUUUGCACUGGUUGGAGUUGUGGAGACGGCCUUGAGUCUCAGUACGAGUGUGCGUGAGUGUGAGCCACCUUGGCAAGUGCCUGUGCAGGGCCCGGCCGCCCUCCAUCUGGGCCGGGUGACUGGGCGCCGGCUGUGUGCCCGAGGCCUCACCCUGCCCUCGCCUAGUCUGGAAGCUCCGACCGACAUCACGGAGCAGCCUUCAAGCAUUCCAUUACGCCCCAUCUCGCUCUGUGCCCCUCCCCACCAGGGCUUCAGCAGGAGCCCUGGACUCAUCAUCAAUAAACACUGUUACAGC
RNAcentral lists this long non-coding RNA (2090 nucleotides) under Homo sapiens (human). RNAcentral describes it as "non-protein coding H19:5". The stretch from base 789 to 861 matches the Rfam family "mir-675 microRNA precursor family". Lineage: Eukaryota; Metazoa; Chordata; Mammalia; Primates; Hominidae. The record is from RNAcentral.